RNAcentral lists this ribosomal RNA (253 nucleotides) under uncultured bacterium. RNAcentral's name for it is "partial 16S ribosomal RNA". It matches the Rfam family "Bacterial small subunit ribosomal RNA", at positions 524 to 776 of the family's 1533-position model. The record is from RNAcentral.
UACGUAGGGUGCAAGCGUUGUCCGGAAUUAUUGGGCGUAAAGAGCUCGUAGGCGGCUUGUCACGUCGACUGUGAAAACCCGGGGCUCAACUCCGGGCCUGCAGUCGAUACGGGCUGGCUUGAGUGCGGUAGGGGAGACUGGAAUUCCUGGUGUAGCGGUGAAAUGCGCAGAUAUCAGGAGGAACACCGAUGGCGAAGGCAGGUCUCUGGGCCACUACUGACGCUGAGAAGCGAAAGCAUGGGGAGCGAACAGG